GACGAACGCUGGCGGCGUGCUUAACACAUGCAAGUCGAACGGAAAGGCCCUGCUUUUGUGGGGUGCUCGAGUGGCGAACGGGUGAGUAACACGUGAGUAACCUGCCCUUGACUUUGGGAUAACUUCAGGAAACUGGGGCUAAUACCGGAUAGGAGCUCCUGCUGCAUGGUGUGGGUUGGAAAGUUUCGGCGGUUGGGGAUGGACUCGCGGCUUAUCAGCUUGUUGGUGGGGUAGUGGCUUACCAAGGCUUUGACGGGUAGCCGGCCUAAGAGGGUGACCGGCCACAUUGGGACUGAGAUACGGCCCAGACUCCUACGGGAGGCAGCAGUGGGGAAUAUUGCACAAUGGGCGGAAGCCUGAUGCAGCAACGCCGCGUGCGGGAUGACGGCCUUCGGGUUGUAAACCGCUUUCGCCUGUGACGAAGCGUGAGUGACGGUAAUGGGUAAAGAAGCACCGGCUAACUACGUG
Molecule: ribosomal RNA, 468 nt
Filed under: uncultured bacterium
Lineage: Bacteria
Description: partial 16S ribosomal RNA
Rfam family: Bacterial small subunit ribosomal RNA
Source: RNAcentral